Molecule: transfer RNA, 74 nt
Filed under: Anguilla anguilla (European eel)
Lineage: Eukaryota; Metazoa; Chordata; Actinopteri; Anguilliformes; Anguillidae
Description: tRNA-OTHER
Source: RNAcentral
GGCAGUGUAGUAUAAUGGGUAAGGAGCCGGGCUUGUAACCUGAAAGGUCACAGGUUCGAUUCCUGGGUCGGCCA